GACACGCUGGCGGCGUGCCUAACACAUGCAAGUCGAGCGAGUGAAUCUCCUUCGGGAGUGAAGCUAGCGGCGGACGGGUGAGUAACACGUGGGCAACCUGCCUCAUAGAGGGGAAUAGCCUUUCGAAAGGAAGAUUAAUACCGCAUAAGAUUGUAGCUUCGCAUGAAGUAGCAAUUAAAGGAGCAAUCCGCUAUGAGAUGGGCCCGCGGCGCAUUAGCUAGUUGGUGAGGUAACGGCUCACCAAGGCGACGAUGCGUAGCCGACCUGAGAGGGUGAUCGGCCACAUUGGGACUGAGACACGGCCCAGACUCCUACGGGAGGCAGCAGUGGGGAAUAUUGCACAAUGGGGGAAACCCUGAUGCAGCAACGCCGCGUGAGUGAUGACGGCCUUCGGGUUGUAAAGCUCUGUCUUCAGGGACGAUAAUGACGGUACCUGAGGAGGAAGCCACGGCUAACUACGUG
RNAcentral lists this ribosomal RNA (462 nucleotides) under uncultured bacterium. Its description in RNAcentral is "bacterial SSU rRNA". It matches the Rfam family "Bacterial small subunit ribosomal RNA", at positions 33 to 507 of the family's 1533-position model. The record is from RNAcentral.